RNAcentral lists this ribosomal RNA (425 nucleotides) under uncultured bacterium. RNAcentral's name for it is "partial 16S ribosomal RNA". It matches the Rfam family "Bacterial small subunit ribosomal RNA", at positions 354 to 796 of the family's 1533-position model. The record is from RNAcentral.
GUGGGGAAUAUUGCACAAUGGGGGAAACCCUGAUGCAGCGACGCCGCGUGGAGGAAGAAGGUCUUCGGAUUGUAAACUCCUGUUGUUGAGGAAGAUAAUGACGGUACUCAACAAGGAAGUGACGGCUAACUACGUGCCAGCAGCCGCGGUAAAACGUAGGUCACAAGCGUUGUCCGGAAUUACUGGGUGUAAAGGGAGCGCAGGCGUGAAGACAAGUUGGAAGUGAAAUCCAUGGGCUCAACCCAUGAACUGCUUUCAAAACUGUUUUUCUUGAGUAGUGCAGAGGUAGGCGGAAUUCCCGGUGUAGCGGUGGAAUGCGUAGAUAUCGGGAGGAACACCAGUGGCGAAGGCGGCCUACUGGGCACCAACUGACGCUGAGGCUCGAAAGCGUGGGGAGCAAACAGGAUUAGAAACCCCGGUAGUCC